AUACUUACCUAGCAGGGGAGAUACCAUGAUCAUGAUUGUGGUUUUCCCAAGGUGAGGCUCAUCCAUUGCACUCCAAUGUGCUGACCCCUGCAAUUUCCCUAAAUGUGGGAAACUCAACUGCAUAAUUUGUGGUAGUGGAGUACUGCAUUCACGCUUUCCCCUG
Otolemur garnettii (small-eared galago) is the source of this 163-nucleotide small nuclear RNA. Its record names the gene U1. It matches the Rfam family "U1 spliceosomal RNA". From Rfam's summary of the family: U1 is a small nuclear RNA (snRNA) component of the spliceosome (involved in pre-mRNA splicing). Its 5' end forms complementary base pairs with the 5' splice junction, thus defining the 5' donor site of an intron. There are significant differences in sequence and secondary structure between metazoan and yeast U1 snRNAs, the latter being much longer (568 nucleotides as compared to 164 nucleotides in human). Lineage: Eukaryota; Metazoa; Chordata; Mammalia; Primates; Galagidae. The record is from Ensembl.